UACGAAGGGGGCGAGCGUUGUUCGGAAUUACUGGGCGUAAAGGGCGCGCAGGCGGCUCUGAAAGUCAGAUGUGAAAUCCCCGGGCUCAACCUGGGAACUGCAUUUGUGACUGCAUCGCUGGAGUACGGCAGAGGGGGAUGGAAUUCCGCGUGUAGCAGUGAAAUGCGUAGAUAUGCGGAGGAACAUCGAUGGCGAAGGCAAUCCCCUGGACCUGUACUGACGCUCAUGCACGAA
This 234-nucleotide ribosomal RNA is filed under the name uncultured bacterium. RNAcentral's name for it is "partial 16S ribosomal RNA". It matches the Rfam family "Bacterial small subunit ribosomal RNA", at positions 524 to 757 of the family's 1533-position model. The record is from RNAcentral.